GUGCCAGCAGCCGCGGUAAUACGUAGGGUCCAAGCGUUAUCCGGAAUCACUGGGCGUAAAGCGUGCGUAGGUGGAUAGUUAAGUGCAAUGCGAAAUCCUGUGGCUCAACCAUAUGGACUGUAUUGCAUACUGGCCGUCUAGAGGACAUGAGAGGCAAGUGGAAUUACCGGUGUAGCAGUGAAAUGCGUAGAGAUCGGUAGGAACACCAAUGGCGAAGGCAGCUUGCUGGCAUGUAUCUGACGCUAAGGCACGAAAGCGUGGGGAGCGAACAGGAUUAGAUACCCCCGUAGUCC
This 293-nucleotide ribosomal RNA is filed under the name uncultured bacterium. RNAcentral describes it as "partial 16S ribosomal RNA". It matches the Rfam family "Bacterial small subunit ribosomal RNA", at positions 505 to 796 of the family's 1533-position model. The record is from RNAcentral.